CACGUAGGCGGGAACUUAAGUCAGGUGUGAAAGACCGAGGCUCAACCUCGGGUGUGCACUUGAAACUGGGUUUCUUGAGGGCAGGAGAGGAAAGCAGAAUUCCUGGUGUAGCGGUGAAAUGCGUAGAAAUCAGGAGGAAUACCAGUGGCGAAGGCGGCUUUCUGGACUGACCCUGACGCUGAGGUGCGAAAGCGUGGGUAGCAAACA
RNAcentral lists this ribosomal RNA (207 nucleotides) under uncultured Syntrophomonas sp. RNAcentral describes it as "partial 16S ribosomal RNA". It matches the Rfam family "Bacterial small subunit ribosomal RNA", at positions 568 to 774 of the family's 1533-position model. The record is from RNAcentral. Lineage: Bacteria; Bacillati; Bacillota; Clostridia; Eubacteriales; Syntrophomonadaceae.